UGUCUUUUUGAAAAUAAUAUAAAGUCUAAUCUGCCCACUGAUUAAAUAAUUAAAGGGCUGCAGUAUAUUGACUGUACAAAGGUAGCAUAAUCAUUAGUCAUUUAAUUGAUGACUUGUAUGAAGGAUUUGAUGAGAUAUAAACUGUCUCUUAUUUAAUUAUAAAAUUUAAUUUUUUUAUUAAAAAGUUAAAAUAUCUUAAAAAGACGAGAAGACCCUAUAGAGUUUAAUAAAUUAUUAGAUUGAGAUUAUAUGUAAAACAAAUUUAAAAUAAAAUUAUUUAUUUUGUUGGGGUGACAAAAAAAUACAUUAAACUUUUUUUUAUUUUAAAACAUUUAUAAGUGAUUAAAUGAUCCAAUAAUAUUGAUUAUGAGAAAAAAUUACCUUAGGGAUAACAGCGUAAUUUUUUUUUUUAGUUCAAAUAAGAAAAAGAGUUUGCGACCUCGAUGUUGGAUUAAGAUAAAAUUUAAAUGUAGAAGUU
Molecule: ribosomal RNA, 478 nt
Filed under: Acrapex albivena
Lineage: Eukaryota; Metazoa; Arthropoda; Insecta; Lepidoptera; Noctuidae
Description: partial 16S large subunit ribosomal RNA
Source: RNAcentral